This is a small nucleolar RNA of Erinaceus europaeus (western European hedgehog), 128 nucleotides long. NCBI's taxonomy places the organism in Eukaryota, Metazoa, Chordata, Mammalia, Eulipotyphla, Erinaceidae. The record is from Ensembl.
UUUGGAAGACUAAGAAGGCUGAGUCUGAUGAAGCAAGACCCUGCUGAUACAAUCCUCCUAGAGAAAAGGGUUUGAGAGAACAGCUCUUACCUGGAGAAUAGGCAUGCACAUUUUACAACAUCACAUUA